CCUUCCCUGAUGGCAUCUUUCUAUACUAAAACAAAACAUUUGACACGAUAAACCACAAGAUCGUGUUGACAAAAAUGGCUUCCAUGGUCAUGCCUUCAUUUUUAUUUUCAGAGUUUUGCAGCAGUUACCUGUCUUCACAAACACAAGCAGCUGUACGUAACAAUGUUCCCUCCCAGCCUCUGUGUACCUCUAUAGGAGUCCCACAGAGCUCAGUUCACUUGUUACAUCCCAAACUGAGAUUGACCAGGGAGAAGGAUUUAGGCAACUCCAAUCUUAGGAAGAUCAGUAAUGUAUAUGGUCAUAGGUCUGCAGCAUUUCAAGGAGAAGAUAUGGGAUUCUGUACACACAAAUAGAGUGCAUAAUAUUAAACCUGCCCUCACUA
Long non-coding RNA from Ornithodoros turicata, 382 nucleotides. RefSeq lists it as uncharacterized. The transcript has 2 exons. The record is from RefSeq and is a predicted model, not a curated record. NCBI's taxonomy places the organism in Eukaryota, Metazoa, Arthropoda, Arachnida, Ixodida, Argasidae.